RNAcentral lists this transfer RNA (74 nucleotides) under Kikihia cutora cumberi. RNAcentral describes it as "tRNA-Ile". The record is from RNAcentral. Lineage: Eukaryota; Metazoa; Arthropoda; Insecta; Hemiptera; Cicadidae.
AAUAAGAUGCCUGACNNNAAAAGGAUUAUUUUGAUAGAAUAAAUUAUGUAAUAUAAUUACUCUUAUUAUAUUUA